UAAGCGGAGGAAAAGAAACCAACAGGGAUUGCCCCAGUAACGGCGAGUGAAGCGGCAAAAGCUCAAAUUUGAAAUCCUGCGGGAAUUGUAAUUUGAAGGUUUCGUGGUCUGAGUCGGCCGCGCCCAAGUCCAUUGGAACAUGGCGCCUGGGAGGGUGAGAGCCCCGUAUGGCGCACGCCGACUCUUUGCACCGCGGCUCCGACGAGUCGAGUUGUUUGGGAAUGCAGCUCUAAGUGGGUGGUAAAUUCCAUCUAAAGCUAAAUAUUGGCGAGAGACCGAUAGCGAACAAGUACAGUGAUGGAAAGAUGAAAAGCACUUUGAAAAGAGAGUGAAACAGCACGUGAAAUUGUUGAAAGGGAAGGGCUUGCAAGCAGACACGGUUUUACCGGGCCAGCGUCGAAAAGGGGGGAGGAACAAGAACUCGAGAAUGUGGCGCGCACCUUCGGGCGCGCGUGUUAUAGCUCGUGUUGACGCCUCCAUCCCUUUUCGAGGCCUGCGAUUCUAGGACGCUGGCGUAAUGGUUGCAAGCCGCCCGUCUUGAA
This 542-nucleotide ribosomal RNA is filed under the name Clavispora lusitaniae. Its description in RNAcentral is "eukaryotic LSU rRNA". It matches the Rfam family "Eukaryotic large subunit ribosomal RNA", at positions 47 to 658 of the family's 3401-position model. Lineage: Eukaryota; Fungi; Ascomycota; Pichiomycetes; Serinales; Metschnikowiaceae. The record is from RNAcentral.